AUAGGCUCCAGCUAUGUCUGAUCAAGGGGGAAGAAGCAUUUCCUGUGAGGACCCACAGCACAGUUUGGGGUGCUGCUGGUGUGGAGAGGGACCACAUUCAGGACCAGGAUCCCAUUCCUGAGCCCUAGAUUCACUUACACAUGACAUUAAAACUUCAAAGCAGGACUGCAGGAAACAACAAUUUUCUGAAGGCAGCAAAGGCUUAGUUAUGAGACUGCAAAGAGAAGCCAAAAUGAAGAACAUCUGCCUGAAUGCAGCCAAACACACACUGCAGCAAACCCAGAAGCACAGGCUGAAGCAGGCAAGUGUAAUCUUGGAAAAAUUGAAGUGAUUGAGGCAUGAUGACAUCUUGCUGUGUUUACCUGGCGGGUCUGCAAGCCAUGUGAACAAAGGCCAUGAGAUGCCACGAAUUUUCUCCAACCUUCUGCUAAAAUGGGGCUGGUAAGCAUAGUGUCAAAUGGCUCUUGAAGUUUUUACUCUUGAGUGUAUAUGGGAAAAAAAUAAUCUGUGGAAGGUGGUGGCAAGUAAGAGAGGGCAACAAGAGUCAAAUGAUGAUGCACUGGUCACGGUGCAUGCUGACAACUAACUGUAACCAUCUAAUCUUCUUCCAGCAUGGAUCAUGGACUCCCAAACUAGUGUGGUUCCAGAUUAAAUCAUGGAGAGUUUACACAGAGUGCAAAGAUCUGUAGUUACAGAACCUCAGCCAGUGACACUGCUGCAUUGAGGUGUCAAGGACUCUUACAUCUGCCAGGGAUUUGCAAGGUGUAUUGAGGUGGAAAAAUCCCAGCUGCCACAGAUGGUUUCAGGGCUUCUGUUAUGCAACUUUUUCAGUGCAGCUUCUUGCAGUUCACCUCAGGGACCGUGCCAUAGUGAGACAGAAUUACAUGGGUACUGUAAAACUGGAAUAAUGGUACUAAUGCCCACCUGACGUAAUUUGCAGAAUUAGAAUGUCAAGCACUACCUGGAUUUACUGUAAUCCAUAUUAAUUGCCAGUUGCAGUCUGCAGGGUCAGUUGCAGCCACAAGGCUCACUGAAGGAGUGCCUGGUGCCCUGCUUUCUGGAGCACCUUUCCAGACCUCAUCACAGGUCGUGUUUCCACAUGGGGUGAUGAGCUCUGAGUAGGGCCACACUGCAAGGCAGCCUUCCCAUGUGGUACUGAGCUGGAAGAGGCACAGGAAAGAGGAAACAGUUCUCUAGCUGCUGCAUGGCUCUAUGGCUGCUCACCCAGUCCAGCAGCUGCACUGUGGCAAAGCAUGACUGCCAGGAAAGUGAGUGUAUACUGACACCAAAGAGGUGAGGGGGGAGAAGGAAGAUGUAUUGGGCAGAAAUCAGGGCACAGGAAUUCUUGUUCUAGUCAUGGCCUUAUUUUGGUUCCAGUUCAAUGCAUGCACCAUUCAUGCCUACCUUUUGAGAAUGCAGGAAGAGAAAACCAUGUGAGGAAAAUUUAAAAGGGGACCUAGGAGAAACAUAGCUACAGUAAUUGAGAUGGAUCAAUGCAAAUCUAAGCUCUAAUAAUCUGUUUUACUGGAUGGCAAUAUGGAAUUUAAUUAGUUGAAAUAUUUUGUAAAUCUUGAUGCUGAAUAAUAUAACAGCUGUGAAAAAAAGGAAAGAAGAAGACCCUGUGAAUAGAAGCUACAGUGAUGAUGUAAUCAUGGCAAGGCACAGGUAAAAGAAGAAAUAUAUCCUGUUGGUGGAGUAACACAUUAGGUAAGAUUUUCUUGAAGGGAUUCCAAUGUUCUAAUUUCUCAUUUGUCUUUCUGAUACCAGCCUUUAGGUAUUAAUACAGAAUUUUGUAAGUUUAUGAUGGUGUGGGACAGACUUAGUGAACACCUGCUUUUGUCAGCCAUGUAAUUGCCAGCCUUGGAACUGGAGAGCUCAAGGGUCUUUGUCAUAAAAAAAGUUCCUGCAAUAGGUCUGGCAAAAUACUUUGUAACCUGUGUGUCCCUACAGUACUGUGUAGGGUUGAUGGUAGUUGGCACUACUCAGCUGGCACCAGUUUGGAAAUUUCCACAUGCUAUAAGAAUACUUAAAAGGCUUUUUAUUCUGAAGGUUUCUGAAAUGGGAGAAAGCAUUUUUUAGCAACAGAAUGUAACUUGAAUGUGUUGAGAGAAAAAAAAUGACUUCCUGGUGGAUGUUCCAAAGACUGAUUCUUUGCUGUUUAAAAUGAAAUUAAUUCAGAGUAUAUAGAAGUUUUCCCCCUUGGAGAACCAAAUUAAAAGGGAGGAGAGUACAAGCAGUGAAAAUUUCAACUUUUUAAUUUUUUUUGGAAAAUACAUGAAAAAACUCCCUUUUGUAAGUAGCUGGAAUCAGUAGUUUUGAGCCACAAUGACAGUGAAGCCUGUCUGAAGGUUCCCAUCAACUCACCAGCAGAUCAUUCCCAUGAGCUGGCAGUUGUUUGCCACAGUAGCUGUCAUCAGAGAAGAUGGUUCUUUUUUUUUCAGCUGCUGAAGGGCUAGUAAUAGGAUAAUGAGCAGUUUGCACUUUCUCAUUAGCAUUUAUUCAUCACAGACAGUGCAUGCAAAGUGUCUGUAACUAAAGUAUUAAGUAACCACGUUGUGAUAUUUGUUCUGUGUUAUAUUUCUGAAGUGUCUAGACUUUUUUAUUGGUAUUUGAUAAAUUGUGGUUGAAGCCCUGCAUAUUUAAAUUAAAUAAUUAUACAAGCUCAUGGGAUCACUUCUACAUUGUCAAAUAAAGGGAUUAUUUUGUGUAAAUCUUUGUUUCUCCUCCAGAAAGCACCUUUUUGAGCUAUUCUUCUCAGGAUCCUUUUCUUGUGAUAUGAAAAUGUUAGUCUGCACUGUAAAUGCCCUUGAGGAAUUUGGUUUACUUUUAAUGAUAAAAACUGUUUUGUAGUCAGUACACCUGGAAAAAGAACAUUCUUAGUAUAAUUAUGCUAAUGCCAAAUUAAAACCAUCUCAAGGCCUCUUAGCAAGGGGAAUGAACUUUGCUACACCUACCUGAAGGGUUUUAGGACUGGAAAAGGUUCUUCUGUAAUGAAGUAGAAAAGGAGGAGGGUUGAAAGAUGGGACAAGCAUUUCAGGACAAGCUUAAGAGGCAGGUCUGCUUCAACCCAUGCCUUCUCUCUGCCAGGAAACAGGGGGUGGAUGAGCAUGGCUGGCUGUUCCUCACAGCUGUGUUCCUGAUCAAGCUGUAAAUGUUACUCCAUACGUUUUGGCCCUUUCUUAUUGUGGCCAAUGCUAAAGUGGGUUUUCAGGAAUUUGAAACUCACCACUUAUAAUCUAUCUCAUGUAGAAUUCAAUGAUAAACAUAAGAUAAAUGUAAGAUAAACAUGAUUCCAUUAAUUUUCUCUCUCCUUCUCUCUAUUGUCAGAAUACUUCUCCCUCUUAUGAUAUCUUCCCCUGGAGGUUUUUUUUUUGUAAAGACUGUAGAGAGCUUUUUUUAGGAAGAAUACUCCCAUAUCCACUUGAAAACAGGUUUUUACAAAAGCUUAGAGAAACUGCUUUUCUGAAUUUAUAUAUAAAAGCCACUUUUUAUAAACCCCUGUAUUUUUCUCAUGAGAUAUAGUAGAUUUAUCUUGAUUUAUCUUAUUUCCCAAAGGUGGGAAGAUGAGUGUUACUGACCAAACAAUGCUCUUUGCAGUAAUCUGUGUGUUGUGGUAGAUCUGAAUGGAGCUUCCAUCAGCUUCUGGAUCUGAUUCUCAGAUUUUCUAGUCAGCACAGUUUUUCUGAAACCAGCAGUGUCUUGCAGGCAGAUCCGGCAGAGAACACCCUCUGUCUCCUCUUCAUUCUAUCCAACACAACAAAACAAAACACAUCAUUUUUUUUUUAAGAGGAACUAAUAAAUACUUGAGAUAAAAAGAGUUGAUUCUUCCAGCAUAAUGAAAAGAUUGUUUCUUGCUAACAAUGUUUGCAGGAUUGGUGCCUCAACUAUACUAUUUAAAGCAGAGGUUGCUCUUUCUUGUCUUUAUGAUCUGUUCAGCAGAGCAGAAUAAAACAGAAUGUGAAGUGUGCUAGAGAUGUUUUGUACUUGCAAGAGUGUAAUGAAGUUAAUUAAAAAUAUGUAUAAAUUAAUCAGACAAUCAUAUACAAUCAUAUAAUAAUUUAUUUUGGAUAGCAUCUGUGGUAGUUAUCAGGCUUGACCUGCCACUUAAAUCAGAGACAACUCUGAACUUGUCUCAGUUUACUCGAGGCAUUUUGCAAUCAAAUUCUGAAUACCUCCAAUAAUGGAUAUCCCACAGCCUGUCUGGGCAACCUGUGCCAGUGUUUGACCACUAUUGUUAUGAGGAAUAUUUUUCUUGCUAUGAAAAAUUCGAUUUUUAACCUGAAGUGUGUCUUUUUUAAAUUAAGAACUGAGGUUGUUCCUGCUUGCAUUCAAAAUGGUAAAAACUGGAAGCCAGAAGAAUUGCUGCUGUCUGGCCUCUGCCUCUCAGACAAUUUGGUGUGAGUAGUCCUGCUCAGAAGUGUCUUGACAUAACUCAUCCUAAGAGGCUCACAAGCAACUCUUCCAUGGCAAACUGUAGGUCUGUGACAGCUGUGCAUUGCCUAGAAAAGGAGCCGUGCAAUUGUUCUUACUGUUGUAUGACGGCAGUCUGAGGCAAACAUCUUUGAAAGAACUAUUCUAAACACAAAAUUCUGAGUUCCAUGCUAUCUGCCUUAUGGGAGCCUGGUCCUAUUGAAUGGUCUGGGUGUCCUGGCGAUUUUUUUUAAUGUCUGGGUGACAAAACAUCAAGACUUAUAAGUAAGCCUAUUUCUUGAAUACUAGCGAACUUCCAGUUGUUGCCUACUCUGGUCUGUGACAAGUGGGGCAGUUCAGAAUGGGGUAGUUACAGAAACUGAUGGAGUCACAUCUCUGGCCUACAAGAAGAGGAAGGAUUUUCAGAAUCCCAGUUUGGAACUUGGGCACUUAUAUUUAUGCACUAGACUGGUGAUGCCCGAGAUACUUGUGAAUUAUAGUUUGGUUUUGGGGGUUUUUUUUGUUGUUUUUUUUAUUAAUAUUAAAGGAAUGACAAACCUUAGUUUUCACAUAACAAAACACCAAUCUGAACAUCAUGUUUACUUUAAUUUAUUGAGUGAUGGAUUGUCAGGUAGGGUUGCUGUAAGCACAACAAUACGACCAUCCUUUAAUUUUAUGUCAUCCAAAGGAACUUGAAUGAAAUGUCAGUUAAAAGCAGUCCUUUGAAUACAUAUUAAACCUGAAAAAUAAUUAAAAAAAAAGACAGAAAAGCUUAAUUAUCUAAUCUUUGAAAUAUUUUUAGAUAUCUAAUGCAAAAAACGACCCCUCUCCAAUUCUAAUACAACCAGAUGCAUCACUAUUAAUUUACAAUAUGCAAGCCAGAAUAACUGGCUGGUGCUGCAUGUUGUUCUUGCAGUGUACUGUGCAUUUUAAAUCCCUGUUCAUGUGCCUCAAAAACAUACUGCUGUUAUAAUGCCCAGUAUAGGUUUUACCUCUAAGGAGCCUAACAAUAGCUUCUAUUCCAGAAUAGAAAUGGCUUGUUGCAUGACAAAAGCCUUUUGUGAGAAGAAAAGUUGAGCAAACCAGUUUUAUGCUCAGCUGUCUUUGUUUCCAGGCAGGCAGCUAAUAAUGUGUGUUUGUCAGUUUACUACUUCCGCGCUGUUCCAGAAAGCAGUGCUCUUGGGCAUGACUCGUUGAGGUUGCCCUUCAUGGUUCAUCAUCUGAGUGGCCUUCUGGGAAAAGAACUUUGCAGCAAUUCUGUUUGAACUAACCUUCAUUGUGUCUGUGCCUAUAAAUAUGGGAUAUCUUUCUACUAGAUUUUUACUAGGCCAUUUCUAAUGGUGACCUGAACUAGAAUGAAGUGGACAUGAACAAAAAGGAAGAUCUUACUCAGCAGGUAAGAGACUGAUCAUGAAUGAUUUCUGAGCAGAUAUAUGGUAUAAAAUACUUGCAUCUACCUCAAGAUUUCAAGUGAGUGGGGUGUACCUUUUGAAUUAUGUACAAGGCUCUUCAUGCAUGUUGAGCAUGGUCUGAUCCUGAAGGAAAUGAAGGUCAAAUAAAAGAGGCUUCUUGUUUAAGCUGAAAACACUCCAUUUGUUUUAGGAAGCAAGGGUGAGAUUUUGGCUUCCUAUUAGUUUCAUUUAUAGCUUUAUCAAAAGUAACAGAAAUAGAUAUCUUAAAUCUGAUCCUAUUAAUGUUUUUGGGGAAACAUAUUGGCUUUGACUUCAUUAAUGUAAAUUAAAGCACUACAAUCUAUGUGUCAGGAUCCGACCUGGAUUAGAAAGUGACACUCUCGAGUGAGGCUGCUGACCCAAAUGGAAAUGCUUUAUUUCUAUAUAAGUGCAUUUUAAAACAGAUUCUGGACCUGAAUUCAUGCUUUUGUGGUCCCAAACCACUGUGAAGGAAGGAUCAGCUUGUUAAUUUUGAGAGUCCGCCUUAUUUGGGGAUUUUCUUUUUAACUGUGCAGGUAGCAUAGUCAAGGAGAAGUAAUUGCAAAUAAUCUUGUUACAAGGACAACUCUGUUGCUUUGAAGCAGCAAGAUAAUCAACAACCUUGAGAAGCUUGUCUGGUAAUUGCAUAUGUAGUAUGAGGGCUUUGAAUGAGUGUAACAGACAAAGGCAGAUGUUAGAUGUGAAAUUAAAUAGCAUAAUAUUGUGAGGUAACCUCACUCCAUCCAUUUUCACAUGAAGGAUAUUAGUAAUCUUGAGAAUAUUUAAAAGUUUCAAAGAAGGAAGGAGACUUUUUCUGCUUCUCAUGUUUCCACACAUCUCCCUUGACCUAUGACAAGUUUGUGCUUCAACUUCUCCAACUGCAAAAUAAUGAGAUGUACCUAACAUUUAUGCCACUUUCACAUCCUUAACAAUGAUGUUUUCACAGCAUUAAAUCACUCUCAAAGAGCCACUUUAUCAGACAAGGUCACUGAGGGAGAAAUUACUCACAGCAAUAUCUUGACAAAGUGUGUGAUCCUCAUACUUGCUUACAAACAGCCAGUGUCUGUUUAUCGUCUCAUGCCUUGUUUUAGCACUGCACCCAAGAGCUAAAACCUCUCUCUGUGCUUGGAGACACACCCUGGAAAUAUCUGUGCUGUCCUCAGUACAGCUCCAUGGCCAGAUUCUGUCCUGGUUCAAAUCUUUGUAGCUCCAGUGACUCCAGUGAAGCUUCAUUAAUUCCCAGCAGUAGAUAAUUUGUUCUUGCAUCCUCUGCUCCUUCGCUGCCUGGUUGCUGGGGAAGCAGCAGGGCAAUGCUUUCUGCCUGCCAGGGAAAGGGGCAAGGAAAGCACUUGGACACAGAACUACUUGCUUUAUGGGUAUUCUUGUGUGAGAUCUUAAGCAGCAUCUCCUGCUGACUUGGCUUCAAGUGUUUGAAAUUCAUUACUACACAAAAAGAUUAAAUAAACUUGAUGUACCAACCUGGGAGAGCUGUAAAGGGUAACCUGGUAACAGCCAGACUGGGACAGAAGAAGUU
Cyanistes caeruleus (blue tit) is the source of this 7374-nucleotide RNA transcript. It is a transcript of the gene named lengsin, lens protein with glutamine synthetase domain, with no coding region annotated. The record is from RefSeq and is a predicted model, not a curated record. NCBI's taxonomy places the organism in Eukaryota, Metazoa, Chordata, Aves, Passeriformes, Paridae.